UACGGAGGGGGCAAGCGUUAUUCGGAAUUAUUGGGCGUAAAGAGCUCGUAGGCGGUGUGUCGCGUCGGCCGUGAAAACCUGGGGCUCAACUCUGGGCGUGCGGUCGAUACGGGCAUCACUUGAGUUCGGCAGGGGAGACUGGAAUUCCUGGUGUAGCGGUGAAAUGCGCAGAUAUCAGGAGGAACACCGGUGGCGAAGGCGGGUCUCUGGGCCGAUACUGACGCUGAGGAGCGAAAGCAUGGGUAGCGAACAGG
This 254-nucleotide ribosomal RNA is filed under the name uncultured bacterium. Its description in RNAcentral is "partial 16S ribosomal RNA". It matches the Rfam family "Bacterial small subunit ribosomal RNA", at positions 524 to 776 of the family's 1533-position model. The record is from RNAcentral.